Molecule: ribosomal RNA, 246 nt
Filed under: uncultured bacterium
Lineage: Bacteria
Description: partial 16S ribosomal RNA
Rfam family: Bacterial small subunit ribosomal RNA
Source: RNAcentral
CACGCCCUAAACGGUGCACACUAGGUCUUAGCGGAUUCGAUCCCGCUAGGGCCCAAGCUAACGCGUUAAGUGUGCCGCCUGAGGACUACGGUCGCAAGACUAAAACUCAAAGGAAUUGACGGGGGCCCGCACAAGCGGUGGAGCAUGUGGCUCAAUUCGAUGCAACGCGAAGAACCUUACCAGGCCUUGACAUGCACUAGACCGACUCUGAAAGGAGUCUUCCCUUCGGGGCUGGUGCACAGGUGC